CGGGGGAGGCGGGAUCCUGGGCUGUGUCCGGGCGCCCUGUGCUCCGGGGCCUGCGCUGGUAGAUUCGCGCUCCCGCCCCGCAGCCCCCU
Molecule: microRNA precursor, 89 nt
Filed under: Canis lupus familiaris (dog)
Lineage: Eukaryota; Metazoa; Chordata; Mammalia; Carnivora; Canidae
Description: mir-8799 microRNA precursor family
Rfam family: mir-8799 microRNA precursor family
Source: Rfam by way of RNAcentral